AGAGUUUGAUCAUGGCUCAGGACGAACGCUGGCGGCGCGCCUAACACAUGCAAGUCGAACGGAGUUAUUUUCUUCACUCCGAGCUUUUUGCCAGUUAGCCGGAGCGGCAAUCGGUUUUGCCCAGCAUAAAAAGCAAAACCGAUUUAGGCUCAUAAAGUAAGACUAACACAGAGGGCAGAGAGUUGGGAGUGAAGAAAAUAACUUAGUGGCGAACGGGUGAGUAACGCGUGAGUAACCUGCCCUGGAGUGGGGGACAACAGUUGGAAACGACUGCUAAUACCGCAUAAGCCCACGGCCCGGCAUCGGGCUGAGGGAAAAGGAUUUAUUCGCUUCAGGAUGGACUCGCGUCCAAUUAGCUAGUUGGUGAGGUAACGGCCCACCAAGGCGACGAUUGGUAGCCGGACUGAGAGGUUGAACGGCCACAUUGGGACUGAGACACGGCCCAGACUCCUACGGGAGGCAGCAGUGGGGGAUAUUGCACAAUGGGGGAAACCCUGAUGCAGCGACGCCGCGUGGAGGAAGAAGGUUUUCGGAUUGUAAACUCCUGUCGUUAGGGACGAUAAUGACGGUACCUAACAAGAAAGCACCGGCUAACUACGUGCCAGCAGCCGCGGUAAAACGUAGGGUGCAAGCGUUGUCCGGAAUUACUGGGUGUAAAGGGAGCGCAGGCGGACCGGCAAGUUGGAAGUGAAAACUAUGGGCUCAACCCAUAAAUUGCUUUCAAAACUGCUGGCCUUGAGUAGUGCAGAGGUAGGUGGAAUUCCCGGUGUAGCGGUGGAGUGCGUAGAUAUCGGGAGGAACACCAGUGGCGAAGGCGACCUACUGGGCACCAACUGACGCUGAGGCUCGAAAGCAUGGGUAGCAAACAGGAUUAGAUACCCUGGUAGUCCAUGCCGUAAACGAUGAUUACUAGGUGUUGGAGGAUUGACCCCUUCAGUGCCGCAGUUAACACAAUAAGUAAUCCACCUGGGGA
RNAcentral lists this ribosomal RNA (973 nucleotides) under uncultured bacterium. Its description in RNAcentral is "bacterial SSU rRNA". It matches the Rfam family "Bacterial small subunit ribosomal RNA", at positions 8 to 879 of the family's 1533-position model. The record is from RNAcentral.